RNAcentral lists this ribosomal RNA (492 nucleotides) under uncultured bacterium. RNAcentral's name for it is "partial 16S ribosomal RNA". It matches the Rfam family "Bacterial small subunit ribosomal RNA", at positions 30 to 507 of the family's 1533-position model. The record is from RNAcentral.
AUUGAACGCUGGCGGCAUGCUUUACACAUGCAAGUCGAACGGUAACAGGCCUUCGGGUGCUGACGAGUGGCGAACGGGUGAGUAAUGCAUCGGAACGUACCCAGAGGUGGGGGAUAACGCAGCGAAAGCUGUGCUAAUACCGCAUGCGAUCUAAGAUUUAAAACGGGGGGCCUACAUACAAUAUUUGGCUUCGGCCCUUUGUAACGGCCGAUUCCGGAUUACCUAGUUGGUGGGGUAAGGGCCUACCAAGGCGACGAUCCGUAGCUGGUCUGAGAGGACGACCAGCCACACUGGGACUGAGACACGGCCCAGACUCCUACGGGAGGCAGCAGUGGGGAAUUUUGGACAAUGGGCGAAAGCCUGAUGCAGCAAUGCCGCGUGCGGGAAGAAGGUCUUCGGGUUGUAAACCGCUUUUGGCAGGAACGAAAAGGUGUCCGCUAAUACCGGGCGCUAAUGACGGUACCUGCAGAAUAAGCACCGGCUAACUACGUG